RNAcentral lists this ribosomal RNA (412 nucleotides) under uncultured bacterium. RNAcentral's name for it is "bacterial SSU rRNA". It matches the Rfam family "Bacterial small subunit ribosomal RNA", at positions 505 to 916 of the family's 1533-position model. The record is from RNAcentral.
GUGCCAGCAGCCGCGGUAAUACGGAGGGUGCGAACGUUAAUCGGAAUUACUGGGCGUAAAGCGCGCGUAGGCGGUUUGUUAAGUGGGAUGUGAAAUCCCCGGGCUCAACCUGGGAACUGCAUUUCAAACUGACAAACUAGAGUUCAGUAGAGGGAGGUGGAAUUUCCUGUGUAGCGGUGAAAUGCGUAGAUAUAGGGAGGAACACCAGUGGCGAAGGCGGCCUCCUGGACUGAAACUGACGCUCAAACGCGAAAGCGUGGGGAGCAAACAGGAUUAGAUACCCUGGUAGUCCACGCCGUAAACGAUGAGAACUAGCCGUUUGGCCCCUUGAGGGCUUAGUGGCGCAGCUAACGCGAUAAGUUCUCCGCCUGGGGAGUACGGCCGCAAGGUUAAAACUCAAAGGAAUUGACGG